Apis cerana (Asiatic honeybee) is the source of this 1268-nucleotide long non-coding RNA. RefSeq lists it as uncharacterized. NCBI's taxonomy places the organism in Eukaryota, Metazoa, Arthropoda, Insecta, Hymenoptera, Apidae. The record is from RefSeq and is a predicted model, not a curated record.
UCCUACACAGAGAUCCGAAUUUUCUCGAGGAUCAGGAUUGAAAGUCGAAAUGUGGGUGCGAGAAACGUUAACGUUGCCAAUACAGAAAGUAGAAGAUGUAACGAGACAUGAAAAGACUCUCGCGAUCGUGUUACAUGAAAUAACCAUAAACGUGGAAAUUCCAACAUAUCCUCUUCUUCGUUUGCAAUCGGCGGUGACCUAGUAACCAUGAUGCUCAACAGGAGGAGGAGGAGGUACGAUUUCACUCGCUUCGGGAUUCGUCUUACAUACAUACAUUUGUUGAACAUUUACAUACAUACUUACAUACAUUUCUAAUGGUGCAUGUCGAUAGAAUCGGAGGGUGAAAGCGAGCAAUCGUUUCCGAAUCGAAUGGUUUCGAGUUAAACCUGCAAUCAAUGUUCGUCACUCUCUCAUGAGGUUUUCGAAGGAAAUUUCUAAAGUAUUCAAGAUUCGUAGUUUGUGUAAGAUAUAUCGAAAAUGCAAAGAAAUUAUAUAUAAUAUUCUCAUAAUGAUUUGAAAAAUUCAAUAGAAAUUCAUAACAAUUCACAAAUACAUUAAAAAUUUCAAUAAUAAAAUUGAUAUGGAAAAUAUAUUUAAAAAUUUAUGCCUUGAAUAUAAAAUUUCGGCAAGGAAAUUUUUUAAAAUACAAAUUCUCAAACAGAAAUGUAUGUAAAGGUAAGAAUAAAAGGGAUAAAUAUUAGAAUUAAAUAAAAUGGUAAAAAAAUAAUAGAAAAAUUAUUUCUUGCAAACAUGAAAUCACAAUACAAUAAGUAUGCAAAUGUAAGUAUAACAGGUAAGUUAAAUUCAUUAAAUUCAUUACAAAAAGAAAAUCUUAAACGUGUCAUUACAUAUUGAAUUAUAUCCUCCUACUACAAAACCGAUAAAUUGAUCAAAAAUUGUUCUACAAAAUAUUUUGAUAUUUAAUUAGAAAAACAUACUUCUAGAAGAGAUGGCUCGCGAAAUUUUUCGUAAAAUUAUUAAUUUGGUAGUUAUUCGACCUCGCCGAGAAUUUUGUGAUACUCCACAAAAUUCUCAGCGAGGGCCAAGAAACCGUCAUCGACAUAAGAGGGGGCUUGUGUCGAUCAAAUGGCGGCUUCAAUAGAUAGCGAUGCCGGUGUGGCCCCGGCAUCGCUAAAAACAUUUGGGGGGGAUUUCAUCCGCUCUCAGGAAAGUAUCAAAAAGAGAAAAAGCACGGGAAGUACCGGAACUGUUCGAAAACAGAUUCCGAUGCUUCCAAAAGGUAAGCCAGGCCACCGUGGGGGUUUUAG